CCUCUCUUUUUCACCUAUCAACAUUACAUUAAAAUUCAUUCUUAUAAUCCUACAAAGCAUGAUUAAUCUCAUGCUCAACUAAUGCCCAUUUAGCUUUAGACAGGUCAUUGUUACGAUCGAAGAUCACGAGAAAUGAAUCUACACUAAAACCUUACAACACGGUAUUCAUUAUUUCUCCAGAAUAUGGGAUAGCCACAUUCGUC
RNAcentral lists this long non-coding RNA (203 nucleotides) under Gossypium raimondii (Peruvian cotton). RNAcentral's name for it is "long non-coding RNA (GRAI_LNC007313)". Lineage: Eukaryota; Viridiplantae; Streptophyta; Magnoliopsida; Malvales; Malvaceae. The record is from RNAcentral.